Molecule: long non-coding RNA, 268 nt
Filed under: Sorghum bicolor (sorghum)
Lineage: Eukaryota; Viridiplantae; Streptophyta; Magnoliopsida; Poales; Poaceae
Description: long non-coding RNA (SBIC_LNC009831)
Source: RNAcentral
GCAUAGAGAUAUUAUGAAGGAAGAUGAAGAACAUAGCAAUCACUUCUCUGUAAUAGUUGUGUUCUGCCUACCCUAUACUCGGGAGGAGGACUAUGAAUGACUUAACACGACUAUCACUCCUGCGAUCUACCACACGGUCCGGAAUUGCAAUCACAGAAAAAUACGGUGUAGGCACCACGCCUACACAGUAUUCACCACUCACCCAUGAUAUCAAUGAGCAAGCACUAUAUGAUCCUAAACUGGAAUAUAAUUUUAAUCUAACUAUGCC